RNAcentral lists this ribosomal RNA (433 nucleotides) under uncultured Adlercreutzia sp. RNAcentral describes it as "partial 16S ribosomal RNA". It matches the Rfam family "Bacterial small subunit ribosomal RNA", at positions 341 to 792 of the family's 1533-position model. The record is from RNAcentral. Lineage: Bacteria; Bacillati; Actinomycetota; Coriobacteriia; Eggerthellales; Eggerthellaceae.
ACGGGAGGCAGCAGUGGGGAAUUUUGCGCAAUGGGGGAAACCCUGACGCAGCAACGCCGCGUGCGGGACGGAGGCCUUCGGGUUGUAAACCGCUUUCAGCAGGGACGAUGAUGACGGUACCUGCAGAAGAAGCUCCGGCUAACUACGUGCCAGCAGCCGCGGUAAUACGUAGGGAGCGAGCGUUAUCCGGAUUCAUUGGGCGUAAAGCGCGCGUAGGCGGCCGCCUAAGCGGGACCUCUAAUCCCGGGGCUCAACCCCGGCCCGGGUCCCGAACUGGGCGGCUCGAGUGCGGUAGGGGCAGGCGGAAUUCCCGGUGUAGCGGUGGAAUGCGCAGAUAUCGGGAAGAACACCGAUGGCGAAGGCAGCCUGCUGGGCCGUCACUGACGCUGAGGCGCGAAAGCUAGGGGAGCGAACAGGAUUAGAUACCCUGGUA